This 467-nucleotide ribosomal RNA is filed under the name uncultured bacterium. RNAcentral describes it as "partial 16S ribosomal RNA". It matches the Rfam family "Bacterial small subunit ribosomal RNA", at positions 28 to 506 of the family's 1533-position model. The record is from RNAcentral.
GACGAACGCUGGCGGCGUGCUUAACACAUGCAAGUCGAACGGAAAGGCCCUGCUUUUGUGGGGUGCUCGAGUGGCGAACGGGUGAGUAACACGUGAGUAACCUGCCCUUGACUUUGGGAUAACUUCAGGAAACUGGGGCUAAUACCGGAUAGGAGCUCCUGCUGCAUGGUGGGGGUUGGAAAGUUUCGGCGGUUGGGGAUGGACUCGCGGCUUAUCAGCUUGUUGGUGGGGUAGUGGCUUACCAAGGCUUUGACGGGUAGCCGGCCUGAGAGGGUGACCGGCCAAUUGGGGAUGGAGAACCGCCCAAGACCCUGAGGGGGGGAAGGGGGGGGGAAUAUGGCAAAAGGGGGGGAAGCCGGAUGAAGCAACGCCGGGGGGGGGAAGCCGCCCUUGGGGUUGAAAACCGUUUUCGCUGGGAAGGAAGGGGGGGGGAGGGUAAGGGGUAAAGAAACACCGGAUAACUAGGU